UGAGUGCAUUGAAGCCAUCUUGUAGGAGAC
RNAcentral lists this non-coding RNA (30 nucleotides) under Rattus norvegicus (Norway rat). Lineage: Eukaryota; Metazoa; Chordata; Mammalia; Rodentia; Muridae. The record is from RNAcentral.